This 1139-nucleotide long non-coding RNA is filed under the name Medicago truncatula (barrel medic). RNAcentral describes it as "long non-coding RNA (MTRU_LNC002404)". Lineage: Eukaryota; Viridiplantae; Streptophyta; Magnoliopsida; Fabales; Fabaceae. The record is from RNAcentral.
UUGAGCUUGAAGACAAUUUCAACGGCUACAUUUAUGCAUGCAAGGCAAGUGUUUCAAUUUACACUAAUAAUUUACAAUAAUAUAUAUUUAAUGAUUCGACUAUAAAAUAAAUGUGGACCUCUAGCUUAAAACAGACCAAAUGCUUACAUGUUUAUGGUCUAUUUCUUCUCUCUUUACAUGUCAACUAAUGUAUCAAAAGUAAAUCUAAAAAGGAAACAAAAACCAAUAAGGCAUAUUAGGAGACUUUUGGCCAAAGGAAUGUCAUCGGAGACCUUAAACAUGAAAAGGCUACCAAACUUCAGAAAACGUAUUUGUCUUCACUCCUUUUCUUCAUCACUGACUGAGUAGAAUGUUGAGGAUUUUUCUGCAUUAAAACUAUAUAUAUAACAGAUAUUUAUAAACACCAUUUUCCUUACAACCUUGCAUAUCAUAUUAGCAAACAAAUUUCUUCAUCCAUCAUUAGUAAAUUUUAUUUCAAUAAAGCACAUUUCCUUGUUAUCCAUUCUGACAGAAGCAUUCCAAAGACAAUUACAUAUCAGCCACCAAAACAAAUCUGAAACUGAAAGUAAAAAUCAUCAACAUAAAAAGCAAGAGAUUGACCGCCAUUGAUACCUUUCUCGUUCUUGAAUAAUUGAGGAGAGGGCGAUCAAGAUGUGACCUAAAAAUUGGAAAAAGCGUCAUGCAGAAGCUCAUAAUUUUACAGGUAGAGUUCUGCAGCACUUGACAACCUCUUUAAGCCUUGUUUGCUCACCGGAGUUUCAAUCACAUCUGUAUUGCUUGAAAAAUCACCAUAUUACAAUGCUCCGAUAACCAAAUAUUAUCAGAAAAAUAUACAUAUAUACAUGCCUAAAUACAAACGAAAAUAAUGGGUUAUAGCACAGGUAUUACCACUAUCGGAUCCUUAGCAGACUCACUACAAAGUAGCAAACAUUUUCAAUUUGAUCUCCAAAAUUCUGAACCGAACAUUGUAGGUAGCAUAACAGCUAGCCCCCUCAACAAAAAAAAAAUGGUGUAUUAAAAUCAGAAAACGGUAGUAACAACGCAGGUGAUGAUAAAAAAAAAAAUUAUACUUGCAUGCUCAAUGGUAUAACACAUCAACAGGGUAAAUUAAGUUUUAGUAAGUAAGAUUAUAAAUUUAC